Molecule: ribosomal RNA, 492 nt
Filed under: uncultured bacterium
Lineage: Bacteria
Description: partial 16S ribosomal RNA
Rfam family: Bacterial small subunit ribosomal RNA
Source: RNAcentral
AGUGAACGCUGGCGGUAGGCCUAACACAUGCAAGUCGAACGGCAGCACAGUAAGAGCUUGCUCUUACGGGUUGCGAGUGGCGGGCGGGUGAGGAAUACAUCGUAAUCUACUUUUUCGUGGGGGAUAACGUAGGUAGAGUUACGCUAAUACCGCAGACGACCUACGGGGGAAAGCAGGGGAUCGUCGGGCCGUGCGGGAAUGAAUGAGCCGAUGUUGUAUUAGCUAGUUGGGCGGGUAAAGGCCCACCAAUGCGACGAUCCGUAGCUGGUCUGAGAGGAUGAUCACCCACCCUGGAGCUGAAACACGGUCCAGACUCCUACGGGACGGACCAGUGUGGAAUAUUGGACAGUGGGCGCAAGCCUGGUCCAGCCAUCCCGCGUGUGUGACGACGGCCUUCGGGUUGUAAAGCCCUUUUGUUGGUUAAGAACCGCAUCAGGUUAAUACCACGCUUUUCUGACGGUACCCAAAGAAUAAGCACCGGCUAACUUCGUG